CCCGUCACACCAUGGGAGUCAAUUGCUCCAGAAGUCAGUGUGCCAACCGCAAGGAGGCAGCUGCCCCAAGGAGUGAUUGGUAACUGGGGUG
Molecule: ribosomal RNA, 91 nt
Filed under: uncultured bacterium
Lineage: Bacteria
Description: partial 16S ribosomal RNA
Rfam family: Bacterial small subunit ribosomal RNA
Source: RNAcentral